UGGGGAAUAUUGCGCAAUGGGCGAAAGCCUGACGCAGCGACGCCGCGUGGGGGAUGACGGCCUUCGGGUUGUAAACCUCUUUCAGCAGGGACGAAGUUGACGUGUACCUGCAGAAGAAGCGCCGGCUAACUACGUGCCAGCAGCCGCGGUAAUACGUAGGGCGCAAGCGUUGUCCGGAAUUAUUGGGCGUAAAGAGCUCGUAGGUGGCUGGUCACGUCUGCCGUGAAAGCCCGCAGCUUAACUGCGGGUCUGCGGUGGAUACGGGCCGGCUAGAGGUAGGUAGGGGCAAGUGGAAUUCCUGGUGUAGCGGUGAAAUGCGCAGAUAUCAGGAGGAACACCGGUGGCGAAGGCGGCUUGCUGGGCCUUACCUGACGCUGAGGAGCGAAAGCGUGGGGAGCGAACA
Molecule: ribosomal RNA, 403 nt
Filed under: uncultured Nonomuraea sp.
Lineage: Bacteria; Bacillati; Actinomycetota; Actinomycetes; Streptosporangiales; Streptosporangiaceae
Description: bacterial SSU rRNA
Rfam family: Bacterial small subunit ribosomal RNA
Source: RNAcentral